Molecule: unclassified non-coding RNA, 560 nt
Filed under: Stuartina hamata
Lineage: Eukaryota; Viridiplantae; Streptophyta; Magnoliopsida; Asterales; Asteraceae
Description: partial external transcribed spacer
Rfam family: Eukaryotic small subunit ribosomal RNA (bases 509-560)
Source: RNAcentral
GUGCAUUCUGGGAUCAUUUUGGCUAUUGGCGGCUUGCCUCGCAUUUGAGCUUGGUGGGUGGUUGAUAGUUGGGUGGUUUCGGGGAUGUCUAUCGUAAAGGUGCAUGAGUGGUGUUUGGUUUGUUACGGGUGGUUGGCUCUUUGCUUGCGCAACAACUUCCACCUGGCAUACCUCUUCAGUCUUGUGUCAAUGCUUGUAUCGCAUUGAAUGCACGGUGGGUUUCUUGUGUUGCAUUCCUAAUUGAUGGUAUCGUUUGAUGAAUUGAUGUCCAUUUUCGUCUUGCGUUGCACAUGCGAUGUGAGAUGAACCUUAAAGCAGCCUUUGUGAUCCACUCUUUUGAUGCACACGCAUUGAUUUUGUGGCCCAUUGAGUGUUGCUUGGUCUCAUGGAUAUGGAACCUUGUGUGGGCAUGGGAUCUUUUAUUAGUUCCUUGUUUGCCCUAGUUAAGCUUUUCAAAUACGAUUUCCUAUCAUGUGCUAACGUGGUAGGCUAUAUCGAAUAUGAAUGCUACCUGGUUGAUCCUGCCAGUAGUCAUAUGCUUGUCUCAAAGAUUAAGCCAU